AACGAACGCUGGCGGCAUGCCUAACACAUGCAAGUCGAACGAGAUCUUCGGGUCUAGUGGCGCACGGGUGCGUAACGCGUGGGAAUCUGCCCUUUGGUUCGGAAUAACAGUUGGAAACGACUGCUAAUACCGGAUGAUGACGAAAGUCCAAAGAUUUAUCGCCAGAGGAUGAGCCCGCGUAGGAUUAGCUAGUUGGUGUGGUAAAGGCGCACCAAGGCGACGAUCCUUAGCUGGUCUGAGAGGAUGAUCAGCCACACUGGGACUGAGACACGGCCCAGACUCCUACGGGGGGCAGCGUUGGGGAAUAUUGGACAAUGGGCGAAAGCCUGAUCCAGCAAUGCCGCGUGAGUGAUGAAGGCCUUAGGGUUGUAAAGCUCUUCUACCCGGGAUGAUAAUGACAGUACCGGGAGAAUAAGCUCCGGCUAACUCCGUGCCAGCAGCCGCCGUAA
This 449-nucleotide ribosomal RNA is filed under the name uncultured bacterium. Its description in RNAcentral is "partial 16S ribosomal RNA". It matches the Rfam family "Bacterial small subunit ribosomal RNA", at positions 29 to 523 of the family's 1533-position model. The record is from RNAcentral.